RNAcentral lists this ribosomal RNA (773 nucleotides) under uncultured bacterium. RNAcentral's name for it is "bacterial SSU rRNA". It matches the Rfam family "Bacterial small subunit ribosomal RNA", at positions 97 to 893 of the family's 1533-position model. The record is from RNAcentral.
GGCGAACGGGUGAGUAACACGUAGGUAACGUACCCUCUGGUGGGGAAUAACCCAGGGAAACUUGGGCUAAUACCGCAUGUGCCCUUCGGGGUGAAAGACUUCGGUUGCCAGAGGAUCGGCCUGCGGCCCAUUAUUUAAUCCUAGUUGGUAGGGUAACGGCCUACCAAGGGUACGAUGGGUAGCUGGUCUGAGAGGAUGAUCAGCCACACUGGGACUGAGACACGGCCCAGACUCCUACGGGAGGCAGCAGUGGGGAAUAUUGGACAAUGGGCGAAAGCCUGAUCCAGCCACGCCGCGUGAGUGAUGAAGGCCUUCGGGUUGUAAAGCUCUGUCGGGAGGGACGAAGUACUGACGGUACCUCCCAAGAAAGCGCCGGCUAACUCCGUGCCAGCAGCCGCGGUAAUACGGAGGGCGCAAGCGUUGCUCGGAAUCACUGGGCGUAAAGCGAACGCAGGCGGCCAAGUGUGUCGGAUGUGAAAGCCCCGGGCUCAACUCGGGAACUGCAUUCGAAACUGCUUGGAUUGAGUCCGGAAGAGGGUGGUGGAAUUCCUGGUGUAGAGGUGAAAUUCGUUGAUAUCAGGAGGAACACCGGCGGCGAAGGCGGCCACCUGGUCCGGUACUGACGCUCAUGUUCGAAAGCGUGGGUAGCAAACAGGAUUAGAUACCCUGCUAGUCCACGCCGUAAACGAUGUGUGCUAGGUGUUGUAGGUAUUCACCCUUUCAGUGCCGAAGCUAACGCAUUAAGCACACCGCCUGGGAGUACGGUCGCAAGA